Molecule: long non-coding RNA, 1031 nt
Organism: Monodelphis domestica (gray short-tailed opossum)
Lineage: Eukaryota; Metazoa; Chordata; Mammalia; Didelphimorphia; Didelphidae
Source: RefSeq, a predicted model, not a curated record
GAUGCAGUAUUGGAGCAUUCAAAUACUGUUUGAACAGUUCAGAAUUCCAAGACUGAAACUCUUGUCUUGGACUUCAUUCAGCUUGGUAGCCUUCUAUGUGAUACUGGUCCAAAGAUGUAGAAAAACUUAAGUUUGUGGGCAUAUUGUCCAUGAGUUGAGGAAGAAGAUGGAGACUCAAGAAUCCUGGUUGUUCCCAGUGUAUUCCGUUGGAUUUUCACAAGAUGGCGGUACCCAGAUUGGUGAUGCUGAACAUCUAAAAAAUCGUAAGGCUCCCAUCUGAGAUCUUUUUAGAGAACAAUUCUGAAUCCUUCCAAGACUCAUAUGCUUUGUUAUCGUACAUGAGGAAUGCAUCUCAUAAGCAAUGUGCCUACAUCGAUGUAUUUAUCACAUCUUCCAAGAGAGGCAAUUCGACAAAUGUCAAACCACAAAAACAAGAUAUGUCAUCUCCCUAACUUUGCAUUUCAGCAUUAAAUAGCCCUAAACUAUAUAUAGCCUUCAUGGUCAAACCAAACCAAAGGGAGAAUCAUCUUCUUCUGUCACCUUGUGGAAAAGUGAAUGUUCUCCUAGUUUUAAUUCUUUGGCUCAACAUUAAAAUAGUGUUUAUGUAAGAAACCAAAAAGUCAUCAACUGGAUUCUUUGAUCUGAUCUCAUUACUCUGAGACAGAGCUAGUUACAGAGAUGCCUCCCUGUCUCUAAACUGAAAAAAAAGGAAAGCGCUGUUGUAACAAAUAAGGCUAAUUAAUUAAGCAAAUCCACACCUUAGCCAUAUCUGAAAAUGUAUAUGUGUGUAUGUGUGUGCCUGCCUUUCUCAUACUAUUUAAUGGAGACUCUGAUGUCCAAGUACUAGCUUGGUACCUUCACUGGCAAAUAAUCUUGACUUUAUUAAGUCUCAUAAAGGAGUUUGACUGCAUGGCGGUGCCUUCUUCCACUUUUAAAAUCUACGACUGUGACAAUCAUACCUUCUGUACCACAGAAUCCCCUUUUGUAGAUGGUUAUGGAGUAACUGAAUAAAAUUCUUGUUUCAUAGUUAA